Molecule: non-coding RNA, 27 nt
Filed under: Homo sapiens (human)
Lineage: Eukaryota; Metazoa; Chordata; Mammalia; Primates; Hominidae
Source: RNAcentral
UAUGAACAUGAAUCUGUGAAUGUGCAC